RNAcentral lists this ribosomal RNA (442 nucleotides) under uncultured bacterium. Its description in RNAcentral is "partial 16S ribosomal RNA". It matches the Rfam family "Bacterial small subunit ribosomal RNA", at positions 338 to 795 of the family's 1533-position model. The record is from RNAcentral.
CCUACGGGUGGCAGCAGUAGGGAAUCUUUCACAAUGGGCGAAAGCCUGAUGGAGCAACGCCGCGUGCAGGAUGAAGGCCUUCGGGUUGUAAACUGCUUUUAUAAGCGAGAAAUAUGAUGGUAACUUAUGAAUAAGGAUCGGCUAACUACGUGCCAGCAGCCGCGGUCAUACGUAGGAUCCGAGCAUUAUCCGGAGUGACUGGGUGUAAAGAGUUGCGUAGGUGGCAUAAUAAGUAGCUAGUGAAAUCUGGUGGCUCAACCAUUCAGACUAUUAGCUAAACUGUUAAGCUCGAGACCGUUAGGGGUAACUAGAAUUUCUAGUGUAGGAGUGAAAUCCGUAGAUAUUAGAAGGAACACCAAUAGCGUAGGCAGGUUGCUGGGAAGGUUCUGACACUAAGGCACGAAAGCGUAGGGAGCAAACGGGAUUAGAUACCCGUGUAGUC